Molecule: transfer RNA, 89 nt
Filed under: Deltaproteobacteria bacterium
Lineage: Bacteria; Pseudomonadati; Myxococcota; Myxococcia
Also listed under: 1 other name
Description: tRNA-Leu
Rfam family: tRNA
About the family: Transfer RNA (tRNA) molecules are approximately 80 nucleotides in length. Their secondary structure includes four short double-helical elements and three loops (D, anti-codon, and T loops).
Source: RNAcentral
GCCGAAGUGGCGGAAUUGGUAGACGCGCUAGAUUCAGGGUCUAGUGGGAUGUACGUCCUGUGGGGGUUCAAAUCCCCCCUUCGGCACCA